This 773-nucleotide non-coding RNA is filed under the name Callivelia conata. The record is from RNAcentral. Lineage: Eukaryota; Metazoa; Arthropoda; Insecta; Hemiptera; Veliidae.
CCGUUUUUGGUUUUCUUAUAAUAAAGUUUGAUUCUGGCUUUUAAAUUUGGAAUUUUAAGUAUUUUAUAUGUAAGAUUUUUCUUUUUUUUGUCUAAAUGAUUGUUUUUUCAGUAUUUAAUUUUAGUUUUUAUUUAAAGAUAAAACUAGAUUUUAAUUUGUUUGACUGACUAAAAUUGUGCCAGCUGUCGCGGUUAUACAAUUAGUUAUACUAAAUUUUUUUGAUAAUGUAUUAAUUUUUUUUUUGUUUUAGUAAAAUUUAUUAUUUUGAGGUGGAAUUUUAAUUUUAAAAAUUAUUAUAGGUUAAUGAUUAGAUAUAUGACAAUUUUUUAAUAAACUAGGAUUAGAUACCCUAUUAUUUAAAUUAUAAAUUUUCUUAUUAUUAAUAGUUAUGUUCUUAAAAUUAAAAGAAUUUGGCGGUAAUUUAAUCUUUCUAGAGGAACCUGUUCUGUGAAUGAUAAUCCACGAUUGAUUUUACUUUAAUUUUACUUAUAUAUCGCUGUCAUUGAAUGUUUUAUAAGAAUAUUUUCUUUAAUUUUUAUGAAUUUAAUGUUAGGUCAAGAUGUAGUUAUAUUAAAGAAGAAAUGGGUUACAUUAAAAUUAUUUAUGAAUUAAUAUUUGAAAUUUUAUUAUGAAAUUGGAUUUAGGUGUAAUUUUUAUUAAAUUAUAAUUUUGAUUUUAGUUCUAAAUUAUGUACAUAUCGCCCGUCACUCCCAUUAUUAGUUGGGAUAAGUCGUAACAAAGUAGACCUACCGGAAGGUGGGCCUGGUUAGUUC